Molecule: ribosomal RNA, 253 nt
Filed under: uncultured bacterium
Lineage: Bacteria
Description: partial 16S ribosomal RNA
Rfam family: Bacterial small subunit ribosomal RNA
Source: RNAcentral
UACGGAGGGUGCAAGCAUUGCUCGGAAUUAUUGGGCGUAAAGGGUAGGUAGGUGGUCUCAUUUGUCUGGGGUGAAAGCCUUGAGCUUAACUCAAGAAGUGCCCCAGAAACGGUGAGACUGGAGUCCUGGAGAGGGUCGUGGAAUUCCCGGUGUAGCGGUGAAAUGCGUAGAGAUCGGGAGGAACACCAGAGGCGAAAGCGGCGACCUGGACAGGUACUGACACUCAACUACGAAAGCGUGGGGAGCAAACAGG